This 30-nucleotide non-coding RNA is filed under the name Mus musculus (house mouse). The record is from RNAcentral. Lineage: Eukaryota; Metazoa; Chordata; Mammalia; Rodentia; Muridae.
UAAAAAAUCCUCGACUUCAAGAAAGAAGAU